GAGUCAGUGUGGAGGCUAAAUACAGGGGGUACCGGUACAGAGUCAAUGUGGAGGCUAUAUACAGGGGGUACCGGUACAGAGUCAGUGUGGAGGCUAUAUACAGGGGGUACCGGUACCGAGUCAGUGUGGAGGUUAUAUACAGGGGGUACCGGUACAGAGUCAGUGUGGAGGCUAUAUACAGGGGGUACCGGUACAGAGUCAAUGUGGAGGCUAUAUACAGGGGGUACCGGUACAGAGUCAGUGUGGAGGCUAUAUACAGGGGGUACCGGUACAGAGUCAAUGUGGAGGCUAUAUACAGGGGGG
RNAcentral lists this long non-coding RNA (303 nucleotides) under Salmo salar (Atlantic salmon). RNAcentral describes it as "lncRNA (ENSSSAG00000089558.1)". The record is from RNAcentral. Lineage: Eukaryota; Metazoa; Chordata; Actinopteri; Salmoniformes; Salmonidae.